GACUAAUAUUUAGAUGUGAAAGUUUUACUGUUGAAUUAAUCGAUUGUUAUUUUAAUUAUGUGUCUCUCAGAGUCCGUGUCCGUUGGGCAGAGUCUCCAGGCAGUAGAUCAUGAACCUGAGCGAGAAGAGGCCCAACAAGUGGUGGACGGAGCCGGACACCUUCACCAUGCUGACCCUAAUAGAACAGCUGGACCUGGUCCGGGAGCUAGACAAGAAGCGGCAGCGCAACGAGUCCCACUUCCGCCGCCUGCGGCAGAGCCUGGCCAAGCAGGACAUCCACUUCACCAUCAACCAGAUCCGCAACCGCUGGAAGAGCCUGAAGCACAAGUACCGCAAGAUCAAGCUGGCCACGUACCGCAGCCCGGCGGCACGCCUCGCCGCCAUGGAGUCCUUCCGCUAUUUCCGCAGGCUGGACCGCAUGCUGGCCUGCAGAUCCAGAACCGGAGGUCAGGAGGACGGCUGCGGGGGAGAGCGUAGCCUGGUGGGCCGGUCGGAUCCGGAGGAUCAUGCAAACAUUCUGGGUGAUGAUGGCGUGUCGGGUCCAGUAGCUCCCUGGUCUGGUGGAGGUUCUCUGGAGUCUGAAUCUGAGAGCUUCGCCCCUAAGCUGGAAUCCAGUGCUGAUGAGGGCAUGAAAUCAGAAGAGCUGGCCAGUCCGGAGCCCUCGAGCUGGGCUGCAGGCAGCCACGAGGUGAUGACUCUGGGGUUAUCUGGAGAGUAUCUCUACGCCGUCAAAACUGAGCCUAAUUCAGAUCUCAACCCGGCUCCUGGUACUGAUGACAGUAGAGAGGCUACUGGCUGUGGGCAAACCGCUGGCUCUUCGGAGGACGUGUGCAGCCUGAUCCUGCAGCAGCUCACGUUUCUGAACCACCAGCUGGAGGAGCAGCUGGCAGAGCAGAGGGCGUUCCACUGCAGCAUGUUGGGCAUGAUGGACCGACAGAUCGAGGUUCUAGAGCAGCUCUCCAGCUUCACCCAGAACCACUGCCACCAGCCCAAGCCUGAACCCACCGAGAACGACUCCUCCAUCAGCCAGAAGGUUCAGGAAACUCUGCUGCGCAUCCUGAGGGGCAUGGAGAGCCAAGCGCUGCAGCCGUGCCUCUCCAAACCUCCGCCUUCAGCGCCUCCACCAGUGCCUCCACCCUGGACUGUGUCUCUUGUGGAGGUUCACCAGAGGUCCUCGUCUGUUGACGGGGAGGUGAACGGUGAAGCCGAGGACACGAAAAGCACAGAUAUGUGCAAAACCUCUUCUAUUGCUUCACCAGAUACAGAACUGCUGCCUUCUCCCCCCAGGAACGGUUCUCUGCAGAACAGACUCUGUUAGUACUAGCCCGUAUCGUAAGUCAGUACCAUGUAGGCCUGUCACCAGAACUUUCUUUUUUUGGCCUGUAUAUUGUCCUGAAAAUGAUUGUGAUAAAUGAUAACACUGACCAUUAAUGUCAACUCUAUCCCACUUAUAACACAACAAUAAAGUAGCUUUACAAUUAGGCCUAUUUGGUUAA
Molecule: long non-coding RNA, 1496 nt
Filed under: Astyanax mexicanus (Mexican tetra)
Lineage: Eukaryota; Metazoa; Chordata; Actinopteri; Characiformes; Acestrorhamphidae
Description: lncRNA (ENSAMXG00005014988.1)
Source: RNAcentral